GGGCCUGUAGCUCAGAUGGAUAGAGCAGCGGUUUCCUAAACCGCGUGUCGGGAGUUCGACUCUCCCCAGGCCCACCA
RNAcentral lists this transfer RNA (77 nucleotides) under Acidobacteriota bacterium. RNAcentral describes it as "Acidobacteria bacterium tRNA-Arg". It matches the Rfam family "tRNA". Rfam says of the family: Transfer RNA (tRNA) molecules are approximately 80 nucleotides in length. Their secondary structure includes four short double-helical elements and three loops (D, anti-codon, and T loops). Lineage: Bacteria; Pseudomonadati; Acidobacteriota. RNAcentral also lists the same sequence under 6 other names. The record is from RNAcentral.